RNAcentral lists this transfer-messenger RNA (362 nucleotides) under Anaerovoracaceae. Its description in RNAcentral is "Zhenpiania sp009911365 Standard tmRNA". It matches the Rfam family "transfer-messenger RNA". Rfam says of the family: Bacterial tmRNA, also known as 10Sa RNA or SsrA, is named for its dual tRNA and mRNA-like properties. The record is from RNAcentral. Lineage: Bacteria; Bacillati; Bacillota; Clostridia; Peptostreptococcales. RNAcentral also lists the same sequence under 3 other names.
GGGGAUGUCUUUGGUUUCGACGGGGGUGUAGAAGCCGGAGCAGCGAGCCGCAGUUUGCCCAGUCUGCGUUAAAAGGGGCACGUUAAAUAUAAACGCUAAAAAUAGAACAAACAAUUUCGCAAUGGCAGCGUAAGGCUGUGCGAACAUCGGCCCAGGUUCACCUGCAGGCUUGGAAUCCGGUGUCAAACAUGCAGGAAAACCCUAUGUAAAUUCCUGGCAGCAUAGGGGAACGACAGGAUAGCUGAUGGAAAAGCCUGCUUUUGGGCGUUUCUGGAGGCGAAGCUUUAAAACAAAAGCUGCGCUCGGAGAAACUCUUGUGGAAAUGCUUUCGGACGCGAGUUCGAUUCUCGCCAUCUCCACCA